UGCAAGUCGAACGAGAGAGAGGAAGCUUGCUUCCUCAAUCGAGUGGCGAACGGGUGAGUAACGCGUGAGGAACCUGCCUCAAAGAGGGGGACAACAGUUGGAAACGACUGCUAAUACCGCAUAAGCCCACGGGUCGGCAUCGACCAGGGGGAAAAGGAGCAAUCCGCUUUGAGAUGGCCUCGCGUCCGAUUAGCUGGUUGGUGAGGUAAUGGCCCACCAAGGCGACGAUCGGUAGCCGGACUGAGAGGUUGAACGGCCACAUUGGGACUGAGACACGGCCCAGACUCCUACGGGAGGCAGCAGUGGGGAAUAUUGCACAAUGGGGGAAACCCUGAUGCAGCGACGCCGCGUGGAGGAAGAAGGUCUUCGGAUUGUAAACUCC
RNAcentral lists this ribosomal RNA (382 nucleotides) under uncultured bacterium. Its description in RNAcentral is "bacterial SSU rRNA". It matches the Rfam family "Bacterial small subunit ribosomal RNA", at positions 56 to 433 of the family's 1533-position model. The record is from RNAcentral.